Molecule: small RNA, 104 nt
Filed under: Salmonella enterica
Lineage: Bacteria; Pseudomonadati; Pseudomonadota; Gammaproteobacteria; Enterobacterales; Enterobacteriaceae
Also listed under: 5 other names
Description: partial RtT sRNA
Rfam family: RtT RNA
About the family: This family represents a bacterial cis-regulatory element known as RtT RNA. The exact function of RtT is unknown although it is thought that it may be involved in changing the cellular response in relation to amino acid starvation.
Source: RNAcentral
AUAUCUCUCUGUACGGGAAGGAUGAGAAGCUUCGACUAAGGUUCGAUUCGAGCGUCAGCGAGAAAGCGUUGCCGCAGGCAACGACCCGAAGGGCGAAGCGCGCA